RNAcentral lists this transfer RNA (90 nucleotides) under Leishmania major strain Friedlin. Its description in RNAcentral is "tRNA_arginine". The record is from RNAcentral. Lineage: Eukaryota; Euglenozoa; Kinetoplastea; Trypanosomatida; Trypanosomatidae.
AGCGGUCGUGGGCUCGGCAACCCGCUUUCUCCGACAGAGCAGCAGCUGGAGCAGCUGACACUGGAGAGGUUCCACGCCUUCCACCGCCGC